UCCCGCGUAUCCAUCACAUACGCCACAAAACCCUUACAGCCCUGCCGUAGACACUGCCUCGCCCUAGCGGCCGAACAAAAAGCUGAUCCCGAACGGGUACCCUCGCCGUACACCGAAAGAACUCCCCCUCUAGGGUCUCGUAUAGUCACCAACUGACGCUCACAGUCGAUGACAGCGCCGAACCGGCUCAGCCAGUCCAUGCCCACGAUGACACAGACAUCCCCCAUCGCGAUAGGAAUCAGAUCAAUUGGGAAUCCAACCCCGAAAAUCUCUAGUACACAUCCCCGAAGAACCUCCGUAGCACAAAUCACCUUCUCGUCAGCUAUAGAAACUCUCAAAGGUCGACUCAACGACUCACGACUAACGCCGAUAUGCUGACUAAAGGCUAAGGACACAAAGGACCUACUCGCACCCGAGUCAAAUAACACUAAGGCAGGCACAGAGUUCACAAGGAAAGUACCUACGCGCAUAAUAACAUAAGCAUAACAUAUCGACAUUAAAAUAAUUACAUGAAUUACAACAUACCUGCCACAACAUCGGGCGCAGCGCGGACCUCCUCCGCAGUCAGCUGAAAGGCUCUCCCACGAGCCCUCGGGGCCUCGACCUUCACCGGUCGAGUCUCAGUAGUCCUGGCAACAGGUGCAGAUCCCUGACGAAGCUGAGGGCACUCGGCCUUCCGAUGGCCGGUCUGGUUGCAAUGAAAGCAAACCAUAAAUCCCUUGGGACACUCCCUAGCAAUGUGUCCCUCCUUGCCACACUUGUAGCAAGCACCGGCUCGACACGCCCCAUCGUGACCCUUACCGCACUUUACGCAAGUGCGGUUCUUCGAACCUCCCGUCCUCGAAUCGGCGGACUUGAUCCGCUUGGCUGCCGGCUGAGACUGAGCCGGCCGCCGGUCUGCCUGCUGAGACUCGGCCUCCUCCCUGGCCUGAGUCUCUAACUCGAUCUCACGCUUCCUGGCAUUCGCCUGAAGCUCAGUAAAAGUAUGGUAAGUGGAGUUUGACACAAACUCCCGGAUCUCCCUCCUCAGAACACCCAAGUACCGGCUCAUCCGAGCCUGCUCUGUGGCCACCAGCUCGGGGCAAAACAUCGCCCUCUCAUGGAACUUCCGCGUGAUCGCCGCCACCGAAUCAGUACCCUGCUUGAGGGUUAAGAACUCCUGAACCAAUCGUUCCCGCUCCACCGGGGGAACGUACUCCUCCCUGAACAUGGUAGUGAACCCCUCCCAUGUCACUGCCGCAGUCUCUGCCAAAGUGAAGUUCGCCGUCACGAACUUCCACCAGUCCUUUGCUCCCAGACGGAGCUGGUUCAAAGCGAACCGUACCCUCAGGUGCUCCGGGCAUGAACAAGUGUAGAAGCACCCCUCUAUAUCUGCGAUCCACCUCAUCGCAGCAAUCGGAUCCUGCGUCCCAUCGAACUCUGGUGGCUUCGUGUUGCUGAACUCUCGGAACAGCAAUGAAUCACCCCCCUGUGGCCUAGCAGCGGCCACAGCUGCGGUAGCUGCAGCGGUUGCAGCCUCAGUCAAUGCGGCGUACCGCUCGUCGAACGUCUCCAUCAGGGUGGUCUUGAUAGACCCAAACAUCUCCGGGAUCUCAGCCCGGAUCGCCGCCGCCACCUCCUCGUGGAUCAUCUGACGAAUAUCCUCGUCACUCACACCGCUCGUACUUGCCCCGUGCCGCGGUCUAACCAUGAUAUCUCUGAAAUACAACAUAAAACUAUCAGAGAUUCUACCGAGUAUAAUCGUACUCGACACGCAACCCUACUCAGUCCCAGAUAUCCAGGGAUUCUUACUUGGGCCUCCCACUGACCCGGUGUCCUCGGUAGUACGGGCCCAAUACUACCGACCACACCGCAUCAAUGUUCAUCCCAAGUCCUCCUCCCCAAACUCCGGAUAGUGAGUACUCUACUUCUGAUACGCUCUAUCUACCCGCAUACUAGCAAAGCAUCUCAUAUAGGCAACUUCCCUAGACUAAGGCAUCACAAAUCAGGCCACUCUAGUCCUAUCAUGAAUACCUAGUCUUCUAGCAUGCAUAACAAUUCAUAUCAUAUAAUAUUGUAAGGUAUUUUGGGGAUCUUUACCGUUCGGGCGCUGACUGAUCGUACACACUGCUUCUUUCUUGCUUACCACAAAACCAUUUACAAAAGUUUAUGCCUUUAUUUGAAAAGUUUCCUCAAAUCCUCGGUUUGAGUUCAGUUACCCCCGAAGGUGCACCCGAAUCCCUCAAACCAAGGCUCUGAUACCAAUUGUAACAACUCAAAUUUUUCAAACAAAUUUUUCAUUUUUAAAACAUAAUUGUUUCCAUUAAAAACAAGGCAUAAAUAGUUUAAUUAUUCGGUCAAUACAAUUAUUCAAACUCCCAAGAUCAUAAAACAAUCUUCAGUGUGUAUCGAUCAUGCCGGCGCCUUCCCACGGUCCUCGCUAGUACCUGAAAUACAUGCACAACAACUGUAAGCAUAAAUGCUUAGUGAGUUCCCCAAUAUACACUUACACACAUACGCCUUUCCAGGCCCUGACCUUCCGGUCCUCAAUACAACGCCUUCCGGCCCAUAACAUAAUCGCCUUCCGGCCCAUAACAUAUUGCCUUCCGGCCCACAUAUCAUACAUAGCACAUAUAACAAUUAACUUACCACAUAUAGCAUACAUAUCACAUAACAUAUCCGACCUUCCGGUCACACAGUCAAACCCUUCCGGGUACAGUAUAGUGAGAAGACUCACCUCGUAAAUGCUGAAAGCUAGCAACUCCUGAAAUCACUCGCGCACAAACCAACGAGCUACAACCCUCCUAUAACAUUACAUAACUCAUUAACACUCAUAUCUUCUAAGUGUGACUAUCCCUAAGAAGUCAGACUUAGGUCAACUCUGGUCAACGGUCAACGGUCAACUCGACUGGACUCGGCGAGUACCAUGGCGACUCGGCGAGUCUAGUCGUCCUCACAAAUUCCUGAAUAUUCCCUUUCUACUCGUCGAGUAUCCCUCUUGACUCGACGAGGUCCUCGUGGAAGAAUCGCGGGGCCACCCCGACUCCACUCGCCGAGUCUGAAGAACAACUCGGCGAGUCCCAGUAAAUCUUCAAGCUACUCGCCGAGUCUGAAGAACAACUCGGCGAGUCCAUGCCAUGCAGACGAGCAACUGCUUCCUGAAUUACGUAUGGUCCCGAGAUAUACAACCAUGGGACUUUCUGGACUUCUAAACAUCUCAUUACUGGGGUAUAAACGUUUGGGUAAUAACAUAAUAACCCAUCUAAUCACUAAAUGGGUUUCAUAAACCCUAAACUCACAUACACAUCAAAAUAACAGAUUUGGUCCGAGUAUUACCUGAAAACGCACUCUCUGUGUCCCCCAAAUCUCAGGACUCAAUCCUCCUUGAUAUUCCUUUAGCCAAAUCCCUCUUCUUCUUGCCUAACCAAUUCUUCCAAGUUCCAAAGCUUUCUCCCUUGCUCUAGGCGUCCACAGCGAUUAGGGUUUCUCUCAAUUGACCAAAAGACUGAAAAUGACGGCCUAAGAGGCGUUAAAUACGAUCCAAACUGAACGGUUAGGGUUUCUGCUGAACAGCGUCGACUCGCCGAGUCCAUAUCUGGACUCGUCGAGUCCAGUCGCGGACCCGCGACCAAGUCUGCGAUCCUACUCGGCGAGUCUAGGCUCCAACUCGCCGAGUCCCCUCUUAAAUCACCCCAAAAACAUAAUUUUAAUAAUACCUGAGAUUCCGGGCUGUUACAACUCUCCCCCACUUGGAUUAGACUUCGCCCUCGAAGUCUCACUCUGCAAAUAGUUCCGGAUGCUGCUCCCGCAUUUCGCGCUCCGGUUCCCAAGUCAUUUCUGAUCCCUUACGGUGUUGCCAUUGAACCAACACCAGAGGUACCUCCUUGUUCCUCAGAACCUUGAUCUUCCGAUCCCUGAUAGCCACUGGUCUCUCCGCGUAAUUCAGGCUCGCAUCCACCUGAAUAUCCUCCAAUGGAACCACUGCCGACUCAUCGGCUAUGCACUUCCUCAACUGCGACACAUGAAAAGUGUCAUGGAUCUGACCCAACUCCGCUGGCAACUCCAACCGAUAGGCUACCCGACCUAUCCUUGCAAUCACACGAAAUGGCCCAAUAUACCGGGGCCCCAACUUGCCCCUCUUCCUGAAUCGAAUCACUCCUUUCCAAGGAGAGACCUUCAGGAGAACGAAGUCGCCGACCUGAAAUUCAAGCUCGGAUCGGCGCCUGUCUGCAUAACUCUUCUGUCGGCUCUGGGCAGUCAAUAACCUUUGUCUCACUCGCUGAAUCUGCUCUGUCGUCUGGAGCACGAUCUCCGUGCUGCCCAUCACUCUCUGUCCCACCUCUCCCCAGCAAAUGGGGGUCCGACACCUCCUACCAUACAACAGCUCGAAAGGUGGCAUACCAAUGCUCGAAUGAUGGCUGUUGUUGUAGGAAAACUCUGCCAAUGGUAAAUACGCAUCCCAACUACCCCCGAAGUCUAACACACACGCUCGGAGCAUGUCCUCCAGCGUCUGAAUUGUCCGCUCGCUCUGACCGUCUGUCUGGGGAUGGUAUGCGGUACUAAAAUGCAAUUUAGUACCCAGCUCCUCAUGGAAUUUCUUCCAGAAUCUGGAAGUAAAGCGCACAUCACGGUCUGACACAAUCGAGAUCGGCACCCCGUGCCGAGAUACCACCUCUCUCACGUAUAUCUCCGCCAAUUUCUCCGCCGAAGAACUCUCACUGAUGGCAAGGAAGUGUGCACUCUUUGUCAACCUAUCCACGAUCACCCAAAUUGCGUCAACUCCCCUAGCAGUCCUCGGCAAUUUGGUGAUAAAAUCCAUAGUGAUCUGUUCCCACUUCCACUCGGGGAUCUCCAAUGGCUGUAACUUGCCAUGCGGUCUCUGGUGCUCAGCCUUAACCCUACGGCAGGUCAAGCACCUCUCAACGAACCAUGCCACGUCCCUCUUCAUACAGGGCCACCAAUAUUCCUUCCUUAAAUCCAAAUACAUCUUUGUAGCACCGGGAUGGAUCGAGAAUUUCGAUCUAUGAGCCUCUUCCAUCAACGUAAUACGCGUACCGCCCACGAACGGUACCCAAAUCCGACCCUGAAACGUCAUAAGGCCUCGACUAUCCUUGACAAACUCUGAGAUUAACCCCACAACCCGCUCUUUCUUCUGCAUUUCUGGUCGCACAGCCUCUGCCUGGGCCCCACGAAUAGCGUCCAAUACUGGAGUCAUCACAGUCAGUCUCAAGCAUACAUCUCGCAAUGGAGUGCUCUCCGCCCUGCGGCUCAAUGCAUCGGCUACCACAUUAGCCUUGCCUGGGUGGUACAGGAUCUCACAAUCAUAAUCCUUGACCACAUCCAACCACCUCCUCUGACGCAUAUUUAGGUUGGGUUGAUCCAUCAAAUACUUCAAACUCUUAUGGUCCGUGUAUAUCGUACAUCGAACCCCAUACAAGUAGUGACGCCAAAUCUUGAGAGCGAACACUACUGCCCCCAACUCUAAAUCAUGCGUGGGAUAUCUCGCCUCAUGAGGCUUCAGCUGCCUCGACGCAUAAGCUAUCACAUGACCCCUCUGCAUCAACACUGCACCCAAUCCCGAAAUCGAUGCGUCGCAAUAUACCACGAAAUCUUCCAUCCCUUCUGGGAGAGCUAAUACCGGGGCUUCGCACAAUCUCUGGCGAAGUGUCUCAAAGGAGGUCUGCUGCUCGGGCCCCCAUGAGAAUGUAACACCCUUCCGGGUCAAUCUGGUGAGUGGCACUGCGAUCUUGGAGAAAUCCUUGAUAAAUCUCCGAUAAUACCCUGCCAACCCAAGGAAACUUCUGAUCUCAGAGGGUGACUUCGGCACCUCCCAACUCAUCACCGCCUCAACCUUGGCCGGAUCGACCAAUAUCCCUUUCUGAUUAACCACAUGUCCUAGAAACUGGACCUCCCGCAACCAGAAGUCACAUUUGGAGAACUUUGCAUAAAGCUUCUCCGACCUCAAUACCUCAAGGACCUCCCUCAAAUGCUCCUCAUGCUGCUCUCUAGAUCUCGAAUACACCAGAAUGUCGUCGAUAAAUACGAUCACUGACCGAUCCAACAUCGGCCUGCAUACCCUGUUCAUGAGAUCCAUGAACACAGCCGGGGCAUUGGUGAGUCCAAAAGGCAUCACCACAAACUCAUAAUGCCCAUAUCGCGUCCUAAACGCUGUCUUCUGGACGUCUUCAUCCCGUACUCUCACCUGAUGGUAUCCUGACCUCAGAUCGAUCUUGGAAAACCAAGAUGCUCCCUGCAACUGAUCGAAUAAAUCAUCGAUCCUCGGCAACGGGUAACGGUUCUUGACCGUUAGCUUGUUCAACUCCCGGUAAUCAAUGCACAUCCGGUGUGAACCAUCCUUCUUCUUGACGAACAGAAUAGGUGCUCCCCAUGGCGAGCUGCUCGGCCGAAUGAAUCCCUUUCCCAGCAACUCCUGGAGUUGCGAGGACAACUCUUGCAUCUCUGGAGGUGCAAGACGAUAGGGCACUUUAGCAAUAGGCGCGGCCCCCGGAACCAGAUCGAUACCAAACUCUACUUGCCUCACAGGAGGUACUCCCGGCAGUUCCUCGGGAAAAACAUCUGAAAACUCACGCACCACAGGGACCUCCUUAACUGACUUCGGUCUCUCGGAAACCUCCCGCGUAUCCAUCACAUACGCCACAAAACCCUUACAGCCCUGCUGUAGACACUGCCUCGCCCUAGCGGCCGAACAAAAAGCUGAUCCUGAACGGGUACCCUCACCGUACACCGAAAGAACUCCCCCACUAUGGUCUCGUAUGGUCACCAACUGACGCUCGCAGUCGAUGACAGCGCCGAAUCGGCUCAACCAGUCCAUGCCCACGAUAACACAGACAUCCCCCAUCGCAAUAGGAAUCAGGUCAAUCGGGAAUUCAACCCCGAAAAUCUCUAGUACACAUCCCCGAAGAACCUCCGUAGCACGAAUCACUUUCUCGUCAGCUAUAGAAACUCUCAAAGGUCGACUCAACGACUCACGACUAACGCCGAUCUGCUGACUAAAGGCUAAGGACACAAAGGACCUACUCGCACCCGAGUCAAAUAACACUAAGGCAGGCACAGAGUUCACAAGGAAAGUACCUACGCGCAUAAUAACAUAAGCAUAACAUAUCGACAUUAAAAUAAAUACAUGAAUUACAACAUACCUGCCACAACAUCGGGCGCAGCGCGGACCUCCUCCGCAGUCAGCUGAAAGGCUCUCCCACGAGCCCUCGGGGCCUCGACCUUCACCGGUCGAGUCUCAGUAGUCCUGGCAACAGGUGCAGAUCCCUGACGAAGCUGCGGACACUCGGCCUUCCGAUGGCCGGUCUGGUUGCAAUGGAAGCAAACCAUAAACCCCUUGGGGCACUCCCUAGCAAUGUGCCCCUCCUUGCCGCACUUGUAGCAAGCACCGGCUCGACACGCCCCAUCGUGACCCUUGCCGCACUUUACGCAAGUGCGGUUCUUCGAACCUCCCGUCCUCGAAUCGGCGGACUUGAUCCGCUUGGCUGCCG
Molecule: long non-coding RNA, 7484 nt
Filed under: Lactuca sativa (garden lettuce)
Lineage: Eukaryota; Viridiplantae; Streptophyta; Magnoliopsida; Asterales; Asteraceae
Description: long non-coding RNA (LSAT_LNC002754)
Source: RNAcentral